RNAcentral lists this ribosomal RNA (891 nucleotides) under Polypedates leucomystax (Java whipping frog). RNAcentral's name for it is "partial 16S ribosomal RNA". It matches the Rfam family "Bacterial large subunit ribosomal RNA", at positions 1112 to 2607 of the family's 2925-position model. The record is from RNAcentral. Lineage: Eukaryota; Metazoa; Chordata; Amphibia; Anura; Rhacophoridae.
GCAGCCACCUUUUAAAACGCGUCAAAGCGUAACCUUAACCCCCAAAAUACCACUAAUUUUCAUGAACCCCUAAUUUAUAAUGAAUGACUCCAUAUUUAUAUGGAAGACACCAUGCUAGGAUUAGUAACAAGAAUUUAUAAUUCUCCAAAAUGCAAAUAUAAACCAACAUGGAUGGACCAUUGGUAGUUACCGAACCUAAAUUCAAUGCAAUAACACCCACAAGAAAACUCUGCAGUACUCACUCGUUAACCUAACACCAGCGCAUUACAGGAAAGAUUAAAAAAAAGAGAAGGAAUUCGGCAAAUGACGGCCCCGCCUGUUUACCAAAAACAUCGCCUCUUGACUUAUAAUAAGAGGUCUAGCCUGCCCAGUGAAUUUUAAACGGCCGCGGUAUCCUAACCGCGCGAAGGUAGCAUAAUCACUUGUUCUUUAAAUGGGGACUCGUAUCAACGGCAUCACGAGGGUUUUACUGUCUCCUCUUUUUGAUCAGUGAAAUUGAUCUUCCCGUGAAGAAGCGGGAAUAAAUUUAUAAGACGAGAAGACCCCAUGGAGCUUUAAACCAAAUAACAACUUAACCACUCACCCCAUAAUAAAUUUAAGCCCUGUUAUAAGGUUUUUGGUUGGGGUGACCGCGGAGUAAAGCAUAUCCUCCACGACGAAAAGAACAGAAUCUUUAUUUAAGAACCACACUUCUAGAAAUUAGUAUACUAACGUUUACUGACCCGACAAUCGAUCAACGGACCAAGUUACCCUGGGGAUAACAGCGCAAUCUACUUCAAGAGCUCAUAUCGACAAGUAGGCUUACGACCUCGAUGUUGGAUCAGGGUAUCCCGGUGGUGCAGCCGCUACCGAAGGUUCGUUUGUUCAACGAUUAAAACCCUACGUGAUCUG